This 76-nucleotide transfer RNA is filed under the name Methylobrevis pamukkalensis. Its description in RNAcentral is "tRNA-Lys". It matches the Rfam family "tRNA". From Rfam's summary of the family: Transfer RNA (tRNA) molecules are approximately 80 nucleotides in length. Their secondary structure includes four short double-helical elements and three loops (D, anti-codon, and T loops). Further hydrogen bonds mediate the characteristic L-shaped molecular structure. tRNAs have two regions of fundamental functional importance: the anti-codon, which is responsible for specific mRNA codon recognition, and the 3' end, to which the tRNAs corresponding amino acid is attached (by aminoacyl-tRNA synthetases). tRNAs cope with the degeneracy of the genetic code in two manners: having more than one tRNA (with a specific anti-codon) for a particular amino acid; and 'wobble' base-pairing, i.e. permitting non-standard base-pairing at the 3rd anti-codon position. The record is from RNAcentral. Lineage: Bacteria; Pseudomonadati; Pseudomonadota; Alphaproteobacteria; Hyphomicrobiales; Pleomorphomonadaceae.
CGGCACUUAGCUCAGUUGGUAGAGCAGCUGACUCUUAAUCAGCGGGUCGUAGGUUCGAUCCCUACAGUGCCCACCA